This is a long non-coding RNA of Pantherophis guttatus, 773 nucleotides long. RefSeq lists it as uncharacterized. The record is from RefSeq and is a predicted model, not a curated record. NCBI's taxonomy places the organism in Eukaryota, Metazoa, Chordata, Lepidosauria, Squamata, Colubridae.
GCAAUUACUGCAAGUUCAAAUCUCACCAGGCUCAAGGUUGACUCAGCCUUCCAUCCUUUCGAGGACCGAAUCCAGACUCUGCACACCCAAAGAGCAUCGUUCCCUUUUCUCAUAAAACAAUCAAACAGCCAUAAACAUGAUUCAUGGUUAAGGAGGAGCAGCAGCAGCGGAGACUCAGCUCUAUGUGCCAAAGGGAGAUCGGCCAUUUUCUUUUCCUCCCCAGACAAGGUCAUCUCUGAAGGUCACAGUGUUCUGGCCCACCAGCGGAGUUGGCAGCAGAGUCAGUGUCGAGUGUCACAGCUCCCCUCAACACCAUACGGACCGGAGGGGCGGGACAUGUGGCGAGCCAGAGGAAUAUGACAUGCAACAUUGAAUACGACGACAGGUGAUGCCGAAGACAAUGGCAAUAAACACGGGUGUUGGUGGGGUAACAUGGCUAAGGUAGAUGCGGUGAGGUCACUUAGAUGUUGGUGCUAGAUGGCUAGUGGGGCUCGGUGAGUCAGGCUGUGAGCAGGCGGACAGCGGGAUUCCCGUACCUUGAUGGCAAGCUGACAGAACUGUGCAGACAGAUGACGUAACAAAGGAGGGGCUUGCACAGCACCUCUGUGGCGGAUUCAGACAGCAGCUGAGAGCAAUCAGGAAAUCGGAACACAGAAGACAGUAUAAAGCGAGCUGAGAGACAGAUGCCCUCAGUUCCGACUUUAAUCUGCUCUAGCAGUCUGACUUUCACCUGAUGCUGUCAAGUAACUACCAUUAAAACCAGGUUUGCAUCA